Molecule: ribosomal RNA, 497 nt
Filed under: uncultured bacterium
Lineage: Bacteria
Description: partial 16S ribosomal RNA
Rfam family: Bacterial small subunit ribosomal RNA
Source: RNAcentral
GACGAACGCUGGCGGCGCGCCUAAUACAUGCAAGUUGAGCGCUGAAGGUUGGUACUUGUACCAAAUGGAUGAGCAGCGAACGGGUGAGUAACGCGUGGGGAAUCUGCCUUUGAGCGGGGGACAACAUUUGGAAACGAAUGCUAAUACCGCAUAAAAACUUUAAACACAAGUUUUAAGUUUGAAAGAUGCAAUUGCAUCACUCAAAGAUGAUCCCGCGUUGUAUUAGCUAGUUGGUGAGGUAAAGGCUCACCAAGGCGAUGAUACAUAGCCGACCUGAGAGGGUGAUAGGCCACAUUGGGACUGAGACACGGCCCAAACUCCUUCUGGAGGCAGCAGUAGGGAAUCGUCGGCAAUGGACGAAAGUCUGACCGAGCAACGCUGCGUGAGUGAAGAAGGUUUUCGGAUCGUAAAACUCUGUUGGUAGAGAAGAGCGUUGGUGAGGGUGGAAAGCUCAUCAAGUGACGGUAACUACCCAGAAAGGGACGGCUAACUACGUA